AGCUCUUUUCUCUGUUUGUGGUCGGUCUUUACAGGUUAACCAGCCUAAACUGAUCUUGAAAGACAAGUUUUGAGAUCAAAGUUGGCAAGGGAAGAAGUAUCAAGCUGCAACCAUCAAUAACCGAAGAAGUGCCCUUGCAGCCUUUUGCAAGGGUCGAAAUUUAGUACAAGCAAACCGUAAUGGACAAGAGUUUCAAAAUGAUGAGGUUGAAGAUGAGGACAUAUUUGAGAUUGGGGUGUUCGUAAAGUUAUGCAGAAGCAACCAUGGCAGCCCAUAGCAGUUCCCACAGCUAGAAGGUCACCAGCAUAAUGCCUUUGCAUUCACAAGUUUCAAGAGGUGUGUUUGGUGAGGCUAAAAGGAUCUUCUGCUGGGAUAUGUUUCUACCUAAAACCUAUUUUGCACUUUUGUCUAUGAUGUAAUACUUUGACUUAUGAACCUACAACUGUAUGCAUUUAGACCUGAUGGAUGGUUGUGCUUUUGGCUGUCCUGGACUUGUGAACCUAUAUAUGUAUGGAUUAUGUAUGGAUGGAGACUUGUGAAUCUAUGGAUGAUGGAUUGCUCAUAAGUAUAUGCAUGCAUGUGUGUUUUAUA
Long non-coding RNA from Triticum aestivum (bread wheat), 591 nucleotides. RefSeq lists it as uncharacterized. Lineage: Eukaryota; Viridiplantae; Streptophyta; Magnoliopsida; Poales; Poaceae. The transcript has 5 exons. The record is from RefSeq and is a predicted model, not a curated record.